AUUGAACGCUGGCGGCAUGCCUUACACAUGCAAGUCGAACGGAAGCGCGGGAGCAAUCCUGGCUGCGAGUGGCGAACGGGUGAGUAAUACAUCGGAAUGUGCCCAAUCGUGGGGGAUAACGCAGCGAAAGAUGUGCUAAUACCACAUACGAUCUACGGAUGAAAGCAGGGGAUCGCAAGACCUUGCGCGAAUGGAGCGUCCGAUGGCAGAUUAGGUAGUUGGUUUGGUAAAGGCUCACCAAGCCUUCGAUCUGUAGCUGGUCUGAGAGGACGACCAGCCACACUGGGACUGAGACACGGCCCAGACUCCUACGGGAGGCAGCAGUGGGGAAUUUUGGACAAUGGGCGAAAGCCUGAUCCAGCCAUGCCGCGUGCAGGAUGAAGGCCUUCGGGUUGUAAACUGCUUUUGUACGGAACGAAACGGUCUUUUCUAAUAAAGAAGGCUAAUGACGGUACCGUAAGAAUAAGCACCGGCUAACUACGUG
RNAcentral lists this ribosomal RNA (484 nucleotides) under uncultured bacterium. RNAcentral describes it as "partial 16S ribosomal RNA". It matches the Rfam family "Bacterial small subunit ribosomal RNA", at positions 30 to 507 of the family's 1533-position model. The record is from RNAcentral.